UACGGGGGGAGCAAGCGUUGUUCGGAUUUACUGGGCGUAAAGGGCGCGUAGGCGGCCAGCACAAGUCAGUUGUGAAAUCUCCGAGCUUAACUCGGAAAGGUCAACUGAUACUGUGCGGCUAGAGUGCGGAAGGGGCAACUAGAAUUCUUGGUGUAGCGGUGAAAUGCGUAGAUAUCAAGAGGAACACCUGCGGCGAAGGCGGGUUGCUGGGCCGACACUGACGCUGAUGCGCGAAAGCUAGGGGAGCGAACGGG
RNAcentral lists this ribosomal RNA (254 nucleotides) under uncultured bacterium. Its description in RNAcentral is "partial 16S ribosomal RNA". It matches the Rfam family "Bacterial small subunit ribosomal RNA", at positions 524 to 776 of the family's 1533-position model. The record is from RNAcentral.